This 253-nucleotide ribosomal RNA is filed under the name uncultured bacterium. RNAcentral's name for it is "partial 16S ribosomal RNA". It matches the Rfam family "Bacterial small subunit ribosomal RNA", at positions 524 to 776 of the family's 1533-position model. The record is from RNAcentral.
UACAGAGGUCUCAAGCGUUGUUCGGAUUCAUUGGGCGUAAAGGGUGCGUAGGCGGCGUGGUAAGUCGGGUGUGAAAUCUCGGAGCUUAACUCCGAAACUGCAUUCGAUACUGCCGUGCUUGAGGACUGGAGAGGAGACUGGAAUUUACGGUGUAGCGGUGAAAUGCGUAGAUAUCAGGAGGAACACCGGUGGCGAAGGCGGGUCUCUGGGCCGAUACUGACGCUGAGGAGCGAAAGCGUGGGGAGCGAACAGG